GGAGGCAGCCUGGGAAAACACAACCUGGAGAAUGAGUUGUUUUGGGUGGAGAAUGGCUUUUGCCAGGAUUUAUGCUGCCUUUAUGGAGACACAAGGAAUUCUUCUGACAAUUUAAGUCCCUGAACUGAAGUGCUCAGCAGUGGUUGGGAUUGCAGGUGGCAGCCGUGGCAGUGAUGGAUUUUCACCUCAUUCCUGCACCAGGGGCUCUCAGUCACUCAGGGCCUGAAUGUUGGUGCAGUUCCCAAGAUGAGGCUCAAAAUCGAUCCCUGGAGUGGGAACUUCUGCACAGCCUUGGAAAUGGGACCCAGGGAGGAAACUGUGGCCAAGGAGAGAUCUUGGUGUCCAGGUUGAAGGUGUUGGAAGCUGCCAGAGCCACUGAUUCCAAUUUGUGUUUCUCCAUCUGCAUGGAAAAUCCAUCUGCUUGCAGAAAUUGUAUUUACACAGCCCAUAAUCCUGAGCAGCCUCAGAUAUUGGGGAUUGAGGCUCUAACGACAUUGGAAACCAUUUUUAUUAAGAGGCAGAAAUUGAAUUAGCCUUUCACUUCACUGUGAAGUGCCCAGCAUCCCCAGCCAGGGCACUCUGCAGGGGAGAAAAUGGCCUCAAAUUCCUACAAAAAUGAGGUAAAAAAAGGAAUUUUCCUGCUGUGGUGGAGCCAAGGUCCUCCCUGCACAUCGAGGUAAAAAAGGGAAUUUUCCUGCUGUGGUGGAGCCAAGGUCCUCCCUGCACAUCUGAGUUGUCUCCCUCUAGUUCCUGAUCAAAAUUCAAAGUUGGAGUGAAUUUUGUGGGCCUGAGAUCCCAUGUUUUAUGUUUGUGCUCCCAAACUCCAGCUCCGAGGUUGACUUUUCCUGUUCCUGAAAAAACUGAAUUUUGCAUCACUGUCCAAUAGCUCCAUCACUGUCCUGGAGCUGUGACCUGCAAACUCAUAAUUCCAUAACAAAAUCCACCCCAGCAGCCACCAGUGGGGCAGGGAGAUCCUUGGAAUACAAAACCGACAGGGAGGAACAGGAAACACUGAAGACAACCUGGAAACCUGGGAAAGCCAGAUUUGCACCAAAAAGCAUUCAAUCAACACCCAGGAAGAAGGAAUUUCAUGUUCUCUGUAAAAAUCUUCAAUUUUCCAUGCCUGUAAGUUUCCCUGCACAUCAGAAUUUUGUUAUCUUCUCAAGAUAAACAAUUUUCCUUCUCUUAAUUCCCAUUAAUUCCCAAUAUGACUUUUAACUUCACCUGUCCUUUCCCUUUUCAUGCUCCCAGCUCCUUCCCACAGGGCACACCUCCCAUUCACUUGUCACCAAAAAUCCUUUUAAAUCCAUCCUAACCUCCCUGGUACUCCACUGCUUUUCUCCUUCUUGCACUUUUUAUUCCUUUUAUUCCUGCCCACAUCCAGUGGCUGGGCCCAGGGAACUCAUUCACAAGCUGCUCACUUCUCCCCCUGUAAUUACUUCUCACUGCUGUUGUCUUUAUUGAGAUGCCUGUCUUUGGGGUUAUUUCAGAUUUAUCUAUUUUAAUAUUUCAGCCCCUGUUUUUAUAGCCUUUGGAUUGUUCAGUGAUCUUUGAUUGCAUAAUUGAAAUGUAUUUUCCUGCCUCCUUUAAACUCCUGAAUUGGCAGGCAAACUCACUUGGCUUUUCUGUUAGUCUCUUCAAGGCUUUUUGAUUGAUUCCAGCAAGGAUCUAUCUUUUCUUUUUCCUGAUAGUUCCUUUUAUUAUCUCAAUAAAACCUCCCGUGUCAGCUCAAUUGAGCAAACUCUUUUUGUACCUGUGCAAACUCAGCCAGGGUUAUGAUAAAGCACAUUUGGUGUAAGGAAUAUCAUUAACUUCUUCCCUGGAUCUGGAUAACAGCAUCCCAACCCCUUCCUCCAGGCCUGUUCUGCUUCUGGCCUGUGUACAGCUGCCUGGCAGGGCUUUGCUUUUAGCUUUUGCACUGAUUUGU
This is a non-coding RNA of Zonotrichia albicollis (white-throated sparrow), 1927 nucleotides long. The record is from RefSeq and is a predicted model, not a curated record. Lineage: Eukaryota; Metazoa; Chordata; Aves; Passeriformes; Passerellidae.